Molecule: unclassified non-coding RNA, 282 nt
Filed under: Hevea brasiliensis (rubber tree)
Lineage: Eukaryota; Viridiplantae; Streptophyta; Magnoliopsida; Malpighiales; Euphorbiaceae
Source: RNAcentral
GUCACAAAUUUGAAAAAUCAUUGAGGUUUCAAAUCAGAAAAUCACAGAACUAAAUAAAAAAGUUAAUCACAGAAAAUCACAGAGGUCUAAAAUUGCUUUCACAGCGAUAAUAAGCUCAAAAUAAUAAAUUAAAAAAAAAAAUCCAAAUUUGACAUAACCGAUAAAUUAACAAGACCUCUCACCAUAGAGAAAACAAAACCCUGAAAUCAUUCAAAUCAAACCAUUAACGCAAAAGCAAGCGAAACAAAGAAAAUAAACAUUCAAUUCAAAACUUAAUCGACG